ACAGCGCGGCAUUAGGAAGGAUUCGCGUGCGCUGUGUUGCCGAACCGCUCCGUCCAUUCCGCAAAAUGAUGCAAGGCACCCGAGUACAAUCAUCUCCGAUUUCUGCAGCACGAAAGUUUGCAGAUGGAGUGAUGACUGUAAUGGGAUAUAUUAUGUGGCCCCCCGACGCUCACGACUCUACGACUCCUAGCACUAGCUCAAGUGUUCAAGCAGGAGACCCCGGAAAAACUACGCCACAAAGGAGUGGCUGAAGGAGUCCCGACUCGGCUGUGUCCAAGACGGAGACCAGCGCCAAGACCAGCAAGCAGUCGAAGAAGAGCCGUGAGCCUCGCGACGAUGGUGGCGCGAGAGAUGCGCAGAAAACUCCGGAAGGGGUCGCUGCUUCACCCGACGCUCAGGAGAAGCCGCAGCCCGAGCUCCCCCUUCCAGCGCUGCCUUCCACUUCCAGCGACCAGAUCCCGGUUCGCCU
Long non-coding RNA from Dermacentor silvarum, 469 nucleotides. RefSeq lists it as uncharacterized. The transcript has 3 exons. NCBI's taxonomy places the organism in Eukaryota, Metazoa, Arthropoda, Arachnida, Ixodida, Ixodidae. The record is from RefSeq and is a predicted model, not a curated record.